RNAcentral lists this ribosomal RNA (254 nucleotides) under uncultured bacterium. RNAcentral's name for it is "partial 16S ribosomal RNA". It matches the Rfam family "Bacterial small subunit ribosomal RNA", at positions 524 to 776 of the family's 1533-position model. The record is from RNAcentral.
UACGUAGGGGGCGAGCGUUGUCCGGAUUCAUUGGGCGUAAAGAGCUCGUAGGCGGUUCAGUAAGUCGGGUGUGAAAUCUCCGUGCUCAACACGGAGCGGCCACCUGAUACUGCUGUGACUCGAGUCCGGUAGGGGAGUGUGGAAUUCCCGGUGUAGCGGUGAAAUGCGCAGAUAUCGGGAGGAACACCAGUAGCGAAGGCGGCACUCUGGGCCGUGACUGACGCUGAGGAGCGAAAGCGUGGGGAGCGAACAGG